UAGUAUUGGCCCAGAAAGAGCUUUAUUCUGGACUUAGCGAAAGUAAAGUCUACUUGAACCGGUAGAAUCAAAUUAACCCAUAGAAAAUAAAACGACGGCGUAUCAAGCGUUCCAAAACAGUAACGAGUGAUUGAGACUUUUUCGUCCACGUUGGAUAGGUCAGCUAGCAUACAACGUGCUCGACAAAAUUCGUCUGAGAGCUCCUAAAAGUAAAAACCUCUCUACUCCUACCCAUGAAACUGAGACGAGUCCUCGGUUCCAUAUCGAAUCUCUCUACAGAAAGGCUCUCCUUUUCUUCUUCCCGUUGCCCAUCUCGACACAUUUCCACCGCCCGUUCAUCUUCUUCACAACGAAACGCCGGAAGCAAGCUCUCGGAAUCGUUACCAGGGAACCACAUCAAAUGGGCGUCGCUAGGUUCAGUCAGAAACUCGAGGUUCGCAUCUGGGUUCACACCGUUGCAUGCAGCCAAAGCCGUUGGAUUCGAUCAUGGAUCUGGAGAGAGCCAAGACUAAAUCCCCGGAGGAGCUCACUUCGAUCUGGGACGAUUAUCACUUAGGACGAGGUCAUAUCGGGAUGACAAUGAAAGGGUUUUGUCCUUUUGUGCAGAUUGACAACGAUGAAGAAAUUAACUCAGGGAAUGUCUGAGCACAACAAAGCCAUGUCGGCUGUUAAGACGGAUGAAGUAGAAGGGCAAGCGUUGUGAGUACAUUAACCUCAAAACCGUUAGCCUCAGCAGCAGCAACAGCAAUCUGGUUUGUUGUUAAUAAUUAGCAUCCAUGGUAGGAGGAUUACAUGACUAUGUUUGUGUACUUCUCUUUGUCAGUAGGAGUUUUGGUAUGGUACUUGCUAGAGUUUGGGGACUUGUUGUAUCAGAACAAAUCGCAUGUAUGUUUUAUUUUUAUUUUCCAUCAAAUCAAAACGACAGUUCAAGUACUGAUGACCUUAAAUAUAAACCUUGAGUACUCUGAUGAAAGAC
Raphanus sativus (radish) is the source of this 976-nucleotide long non-coding RNA. RefSeq lists it as uncharacterized. The record is from RefSeq and is a predicted model, not a curated record. NCBI's taxonomy places the organism in Eukaryota, Viridiplantae, Streptophyta, Magnoliopsida, Brassicales, Brassicaceae. The transcript is spliced from 2 exons.